Molecule: transfer RNA, 74 nt
Filed under: Plasmodium berghei
Lineage: Eukaryota; Apicomplexa; Aconoidasida; Haemosporida; Plasmodiidae
Also listed under: 3 other names
Description: Arg transfer RNA (tct)
Rfam family: tRNA
About the family: Transfer RNA (tRNA) molecules are approximately 80 nucleotides in length. Their secondary structure includes four short double-helical elements and three loops (D, anti-codon, and T loops). Further hydrogen bonds mediate the characteristic L-shaped molecular structure. tRNAs have two regions of fundamental functional importance: the anti-codon, which is responsible for specific mRNA codon recognition, and the 3' end, to which the tRNAs corresponding amino acid is attached (by aminoacyl-tRNA synthetases). tRNAs cope with the degeneracy of the genetic code in two manners: having more than one tRNA (with a specific anti-codon) for a particular amino acid; and 'wobble' base-pairing, i.e. permitting non-standard base-pairing at the 3rd anti-codon position.
Source: RNAcentral
UAAAUCUAUAAUUUAAUGGAUAAAAUAAAAACCUUCUAAGUUUUAUAUGUAAGUUCAAAUCUUACUAGAUUUAA